UUGGAGGGCAAGUCUGGUGCCAGCAGCCGCGGUAAUUCCAGCUCCAAUAGCGUAUAUUAAAGUUGUUGCAGUUAAAAAGCUCGUAGUUGAAUUUCGGGAUUAAUAUGUUGGUCGUGCCUUGGUACGUACUGGCGUCAUUGGUUUCUACCUUCUGAAGAACCUCGAUGUCAUUAAUUUGGUGUCUUGGGGAAUCAGGACUGUUACUUUGAAAAAAUUAGAGUGUUUAAAGCAAGCUCACGCUUGAAUACAUUAGCAUGGAAUAAUGAAAUAGGACGUUUGAUUCUAUUUUGUUGGUUUCUAGGAUCGACGUAAUGAUUAAUAGGGAUAGUUGGGGGCAUUAGUAUUCAAUUGUCAGAGGUGAAAUUCUUGGAUUUAUUGAAGACUAACUACUGCGAAAGCAUUUGCCAAGGAUGUUUUCAUUAAUCAAGAACGAAAGUUAGGGGAUCGAAGACGAUCAGAUACCGUCGUAGUCUUAACCAUAAACUAUGCCGACUAGGGAUCGGAUGAUGUUAAUUUUUUAAUGACUCAUUCGGCGCCUUACGGGAAAC
RNAcentral lists this ribosomal RNA (548 nucleotides) under uncultured Glomus. RNAcentral's name for it is "SSU rRNA". It matches the Rfam family "Eukaryotic small subunit ribosomal RNA", at positions 548 to 1098 of the family's 1831-position model. The record is from RNAcentral. Lineage: Eukaryota; Fungi; Glomeromycota; Glomeromycetes; Glomerales; Glomeraceae.